This 240-nucleotide ribosomal RNA is filed under the name uncultured Lactobacillus sp. Its description in RNAcentral is "partial 16S ribosomal RNA". It matches the Rfam family "Bacterial small subunit ribosomal RNA", at positions 122 to 355 of the family's 1533-position model. The record is from RNAcentral. Lineage: Bacteria; Bacillati; Bacillota; Bacilli; Lactobacillales; Lactobacillaceae.
UAACCUGCCCAAGAGAUCGGGAUAACACCUGGAAACAGAUGCUAAUACCGGAUAACAACAGAUGAUGCCUAUCAACUGCUUAAAAGAUGGUUCUGCUAUCACUCUUGGAUGGACCUGCGGUGCAUUAGCUAGUUGGUAGGGUAACGGCCUACCAAGGCGAUAAUGCAUAGCCGAGUUGAGAGACUGAUCGGCCACAUUGGGACUGAGACACGGCCCAAACUCCUACGGGAGGCAGCAGUU